GACGAACGCUGGCGGCAGGCCUAACACAUGCAAGUCGAGCGGACCUUUCGUGCUUAUCGGCGGUCGUGUGAGUACCGCGUGGGAAUAUGCCCUUCUCUACGGAAUAGUUCUGUUUAACUGGGGUUAAUACCGCAUACGCUCUUUGGGGGUAAGAUCUCCUGGGGCAGGAUUAGCCCGCGUUGGUUUCGGCGGUUGGUGGGGGACUCGCGGAUGAUCAGCUCGAUGGUGGGGUAGUGGAAUAGCAAGGCUUGGCCGGGUGGCCGGCCUGAGAGGUGGACCGGCCACCGUGGGACUGAGAGACGGCCCAGACGCCUACGGGAGGCAGCAGGGGGGAAUAUGGCACAAGGGGCGGAAGCAUGAUGCAGCAACGCCGCGUGCGGGAUGACGGCCUGCGGGUUGGAAACCGCUUUCGCCUGUGACGAAGCGUGAGUGACGGUAAUGGGUAAAGAAGCACCGGCUAACUACGUG
RNAcentral lists this ribosomal RNA (468 nucleotides) under uncultured bacterium. RNAcentral describes it as "partial 16S ribosomal RNA". It matches the Rfam family "Bacterial small subunit ribosomal RNA", at positions 28 to 507 of the family's 1533-position model. The record is from RNAcentral.